AACCUUUGUUUGUCUUUAAAGCAGACUUCCUAGGAUGCACUUCUUCCUUACAUCAGAAAAAAAGCCAUGAACAUGCAGCCACAUGGAUUGGAGAAGACAGAAGAAAACAGGGGCCAAAGUACAGGGGAAAAAGAGAAAAUCCUGGGAUUACACAAGGAAGAGAAGUUGUUCAUGACUUCCCUGGUGGCGCAGUGGUUAAGAAUCCGCCUGCCAAUGCAGGGGACACGGGUUCGAGCCCUGGUCUGGGAAGAUCCCACAUGCCGCGGAGCAACUAAGCCCGUGCACAACAACUACUGAGCCUGUGCUCUAGAGUCUGCGAGCUACAACUACUGAGACACGUGCCAAAACAACUGAAGCCCGCGUGCCUACAGCCCACGCUCCACAACAAGAGAAACCACCGCAAUAAGAAGCCCACGUACUGCAACGAAGAGUAGCCCCUGCUCUCUGCAACUACAGAAAGCCUGCGGGCAGCAACAAAGACCCAACGCAACCAAAAAUAAAAUAAAUUAAUUAAAAAAAAAAGUUGUUUAUAUGAAAUCAAUCUACCAUACUCGUCUAACUUAAACUAAUACAUAGUUGGUAUUGAAAAUGAUUUUCUGAUGUUUUAGAACACUGUGAUUUCUUA
Orcinus orca (killer whale) is the source of this 625-nucleotide long non-coding RNA. RefSeq lists it as uncharacterized. The record is from RefSeq and is a predicted model, not a curated record. NCBI's taxonomy places the organism in Eukaryota, Metazoa, Chordata, Mammalia, Artiodactyla, Delphinidae. The transcript is spliced from 3 exons.